UCAAGUUUACCUGGGACUUAUCUUUUUUCUUUUUUGAAGGAAGAUUUGCAUCUGGCCUAAAAUACUUGGGGCUACAGCCCCAAGUGAUCAGGCCUAACGACGCCCCUGGUUGAGCCUGGAAGUGGGCGACCGCCUUGUGGACGGAGAAGAGUCCGGUGCUGGAUUCCUCCAUCACCUUUUAGCAAGCUUUUGGAGAGGUCUUUGAUCACCCUGCAGUAGGUUGGACCUGUGGGGAUCGACUCUGCAACCUCAAGCUGGGAAACAGUACCACGAUUGACUUCUUGCUUGAUUUCCAAACCCUAGCCGCUGGUUUAGGGGUUUAGGGUGGCCAUCUUCCUCUUUGCAUAUGUUGUACCUUCGCAUCUUAAACUUGGCACUGCAGGCAGAGAUUACAUUCUGUGGUGAGGUAUGGACUUUUGAAGACACUGCUUCAUCCAAGGAUUCAGCUCAGUAGCUGCCCCGAUGCGUCUAAAGUUGGAGUUGGUGCUGUCCUGUCUCAAAAACUGGGAGACUCAGGUCUGACAUACUUGUGGACUUUCUUCUCCAAGAAGCUCAGCCCAGUCGAGCGCAACUAUGAUGUGGGAAACCAGGACCUACUGGCCAUAAAACUUGCCAUGGAGGAGUGGUACCACUAGUUAGAGGAGGCUGAACAUCUGUUCCUGGUGUUAACAGACCAUCACAAUCUAGAGUACCUCCAGACCACCAAAAGGUUGAAUGCCCAACAAGCCCAUUAGGCCCUAUUCUUUACUCAUUUCACUUUUAAAGUGUCCUGUCCUCCAGGGUCAAAGAAUGUCAAUCUCUUGGGACCUGGACCAAUCCCUGCAAGGGGCAAACCUGAACACACCUCCACCUACUGACAUGCAUAUAUCAUUAAGAGCUCAACAGUGACAUAACAGGAUGGUAUGCUAAAGCACCUUCGAAGUUCUGCAUGCAUAGACAGAAAUCUUUGAAAAUGUGCUGUUUGAAUGAUCAUUUUUGGAUGAUAUUCAGGGCUGACAUUAGUAUAGAUUGAGUGAUCUGUGGUAUUCAGAUAAUCCUUGAUCAGGAUCAGAGUGUAAGCUGAUUUUUCCCAACUGGUAACAUUUUUCUGGUUGGAAGAUGAAACAUACUGUGUUGCGCUUUAUCAGAAAUGUAGUUUGUAUGUUCUCCAGUGUUGUGAGGGUUUUCUAUCAGUCUAGAGACAUCCAUCCAUCCAUCCAUCCAUCCAUCCAACUUCUACCUGAUUAUCUCGGUUAGGGUCACAUGGUAAAAGCAAACAUUCUAAAUAGCAUCUUUGUCCAUAGUGUGUCAAUGUAUGUGUUAUACAAUGAAUUGUCAUCCAGGAUAUUUCCCUGUUUCAUGUCCUUGCUGCCCUUGUAUCCUGUGACUGGCUAAGCAAUUGGGAUAUGGAUGGUAUAAUCCAAAAUGUAGUAUACUAUUAUAUUAUAUUAUAAAAACAAUAUAACCAG
Non-coding RNA from Paramormyrops kingsleyae, 1448 nucleotides. The record is from RefSeq and is a predicted model, not a curated record. Lineage: Eukaryota; Metazoa; Chordata; Actinopteri; Osteoglossiformes; Mormyridae.